GCAGCUGCGGGGAGAGCGAGAAGUGUUUCAUUUGCGUCAGUUUGCAGUGGAGCCUGACGGGGCUGCGUUCAGGGUGCUUUUAACUCUCUGUGACUGGCAGGUGCAUGAUGUCACAAUGAGGUUAGCUAUCUCGCAAGUAGAUGGGGGGGGAAUAAUGACAAGGGAGACAAUUUAGAAUUUCAAGGAAAGGGAUGCACAUCAAAGCACCAGGCGACAGCUCAAAUCGCACUGCAGAGACACAGACAGAUCUGCAGGAGCUGAAGGCUCUUUUCUUACCAUUUUUCUCCCCCAUCUGCUUUUAUUGUGCAGAAAAACUAUCCAUAGGGGAGGUCUCUGUGGAGUGCAAUUCUAGGUAAGGCUCAUGUUGACCUUGGAUAGGUCUUGUAAGGGCUGCGUGCUUUAAAGGUGCAGUUGUUGCUGGGUUUUGUACAAUACUGCAAAACUAAGGGAAGUAGUUAAUUAUAAGAUUCUAGCCGGGGCACUGAAGAUGGUUUUAAAACAUGUAGUUUUACAAAGAUUCAGAGCCCCAUGGAACUUUAACAUUGCACAAGCUAAAAAUAAAUAAAUGCUGAUAUAGCUAUAGAUUUUGGGUAACAUACAGGAUGGAGAGAGAGAAAAUUCCUGUAAUAUGGGGUAGAGAAAAAGCUGAGUUUGCAUGGUUAAGAAUGCAUGUGGUCUGACACCUCAUUCUUUAGUUAAAAGUAGUUAAGAUUACUUUAGUUUUUAAAAGCCAUCAUUGAGAUGCUAGAAAACAUCUGAUAUAACAGGAAAGAUAUAUAACAUGGCCACGAAAUUGUACCACAUCAGAAUGGUUUUAUUGAUGUUGUUUCCUAGGAAACCAUCCAAAGGCUGCAGUCCUAUGCUCGCUUACCUGAGGAUGGAGUUAGUUCCUAAAUCAGAGACUGGGAAUUGCUAUGCACCCCCAGAUACUAUUGGACUUUAACUCCCAUCAGCCCCAGAAGGUAUGAGCAGUGAUCAUGGAUGGCAGCAAUUAUAGUCCAACAAAAUAUGGAGCGCCACCAGUUCCACUUGCCUGUCUUAAGGAAACAUGGUUAGAGUCAUGCUGCAAAUGGCCUCUGUCUGAUUUCCUGGGAAGACAGCACUGACAAGCACUUGACACAGGUAGGUAGCCAUGUUGGUCUGCAGUAGUCGAAACAAAAUAAAAAAAUUCCUUCCAGUAGCACCUUAAAGACCAACUAAGUUUGUUAUUGGUAUGUGCAUGCACACAAAAGCUCAUAACAAUAACAAACUUAGUUGGUCUCUAAGGUGCUACUGGAAGGAAUUUUUUUCUAUAUUGCCCUUGACAGUUAGGAAGUAUAGCAUUCUUUUUGUUUAGUUUUCAGUGGGAGGGCAGAAAAGGGUGGGUGGAUUGAUAUGAAACCACCCUAAUCUUUCAAUCAGUCUAAAAGCAUUUCCAGAAGGUCACUAUUUUCUGGUGGGAUCCGAUCCCUUAUCAGCAAAUUCAUGUUGUGCAAUUAAAGUUCAUUUGGCACUCUUGGGCAACAAAUGCGCUUCCUCCCAAAACUGACUUCUCGUGAGAGCUAGUGUGAUGUAAUGGUUAGUGUGGGAGACCAGGGUUCUCCCCACUCAGCCAUGAAGCUCAGCCUUACCUGGUUCACAGGAUUGUCGUGAGGAUUAAAUGAGGAGGGGAAGAACCUUGUACACCAACUUGAGCUCCUCCGAGAAAAUGGUAGGAUAUAAAUUCAAUAAGUAAAUAAUAAGGACAGAAAAUGAACUGGAAAGUGUGGGAUAACUAAUUUUUUAUUGGGGAGUGGGUGGGAGAGAAUAACAAUAUUACCUCCACACAAACAAAUGAGAAUUAAUUCUCAGUAAGUGCAACUGAUAUCAUCUAACCUCCCUGCAAUCUUUGUGUGAACAAAUCAGGAUAGAUUGGAAGCAACUUAUGUUCCAAAGUGGGGGAGAGAAACUGUAAGACACAGAUGGUUAUUCACUACCUGCACAACUUGGCUGCUGUUUCAAGAAGGCCAGCAUGAAUGCUAAUGGUCCAUGUCACAGAAAUCACCACCACAGAACUUGGACCAAUGUCUUCACUCAUUUCGUUUUAGUUAUCUGAGGGCACCAGCAUUAUGAACCACUAACGUGGGGUGAAUUUUUACUCACAAUAUAUUAUGCAAUUACUGACACCCUAGAUUACUGGCAAAUCAGUUUAACCUACUUUGAAUUCAAGCUCGCAUCAUGAGCUCCCAUGGUCAUUUCUGGUAUCUUGAAGGCCCUUUUCCUUUGAAAUUUAUUUAUUAGUUACGUUAGUCUGACAACAACCUUGUGAAGUAGCUUAGACUGUAAGGAAAAGACUGUUGCCCCAGGUCACCCUGUGAGCUUCGGAGCUGACAGCAAAUGCAAAUUGUACUUUUAAAACCUGGAUUCAAAAGUUACUUAAAGUUUAAUGACCCCCCCCCACUGAAAAAGACAAAGAGUCUUGAGGUACCUUAAAGACUAACAAAUUUAUUAUGUGAAAUAGAGCCCACCUCAUCAGAUGCAUGAAGUGUAAUAGUCUGUAAUACCACUAUUGGGAAGGAGAACUGUGUUAAUUCUGCAUACAUUUAAGCUGUAAUAGAAUUAUCACAGACAGUACUUUUUGCAUUUCAUUGCCCUUCAACUCCAGGCAAAUGCACACCAAACAUUUAAAGCAUAUUUAAAAAACAGGGCUUCCCUCAAAGAAUGCUUGGAACUGUAGUUCGUUAAGGUUGUUGGGAAUUGUAGCUCUGCAAGGGGUUAAAUACAGACCCCAGGAGUCUUUCAAGGAAGUCAUGUGUUUAAAAUGUAUGGUGUGAAUGUGAAGACCUGCAUUUCCCCACUUUGCAUAUUUCCCCAUGUAUAUUUCAGCUGACCACGUCAACUGAAGAUAAUGCUUCAUUCAUCCGAUGGACUUCAGAAAGACUUGUGCAACAAUAAAUUUGUUCAUUUUUAAGGUCUCGCGGGAUUCUUUGUGACUUUUGCUGCAAAUUACUAACACGGAGCUACUCCUCUACAAAACGUAUAACCAUGUCAGCUGGAAAUGACACAAGUGCAUUUGAGCAGGCAAGUUUCCCUGAGGUAAACAUGGAGGUGAGGGAAGAGAUUUUCUGAGCUACUGCUUCAGUGUGUGCCAUGGAUUAAACCCCAGGGCACUUCAAGGUGUGUGCAUGUUUGACAGUACUGAAUAUUGCAAUUUAAACUGGGGUUCUAUCUUAAAAAAACAACAACACAAAAAACAAACCCUGAAGGUUAAAUGGUAAAAUGUGAAUUGGCUCUGAGUGGGGCUUUGAACCUGGCUUUCCUAUAGCCAAAUGCAACAUUCCAGUCUCUAAACCACACCAGUUUCAAAAAAUAUUGGUUUGCCUGCAUUGAGGAGAAAAAGAAGAGAUAUGGCUGGCUCCACAAGCUGAAAAGAAUUAACA
Podarcis lilfordi (Lilford's wall lizard) is the source of this 3398-nucleotide non-coding RNA. NCBI's taxonomy places the organism in Eukaryota, Metazoa, Chordata, Lepidosauria, Squamata, Lacertidae. The record is from the annotation of a GenBank genome assembly.